CGCUGGCGGCGUGCUUAACACAUGCAAGUCGANCGGGAUCGGCCAAGCUUGCUUGGCCGUGAGAGUGGCGAACGGGUGAGUAAUGCGUGACCAACCUGCCCCAUUCUCCGGAAUAGCUCCUGGAAACGGGUGGUAAUGCCGGAUGCUCCACAUGACCUCAUGGGAUUGUGGGAAAGGGUUACUGGAAUGGGAUGGGGUCGCGUCCUAUCAGCUUGUUGGUGGGGUAACGGCCCACCAAGGCUUCGACGGGUAGCCGGCCUGAGAGGGCGACCGGCCACAUUGGGACUGAGAUACGGCCCAGACUCCUACGGGAGGCAGCAGUGGGGAAUAUUGCACAAUGGGCGAAAGCCUGAUGCAGCGACGCCGCGUGCGGGAUGAAGGCCUUCGGGUUGUAAACCGCUUUUGAUUGGGAGCAAGCGAGAGUGAGUGUACCUUUCGAAUAAGCACCGGCUUAACUACGUGCCAGCAGCCGCGG
RNAcentral lists this ribosomal RNA (475 nucleotides) under Bifidobacterium minimum. RNAcentral describes it as "bacterial SSU rRNA". It matches the Rfam family "Bacterial small subunit ribosomal RNA", at positions 34 to 520 of the family's 1533-position model. Lineage: Bacteria; Bacillati; Actinomycetota; Actinomycetes; Bifidobacteriales; Bifidobacteriaceae. The record is from RNAcentral.